Molecule: ribosomal RNA, 465 nt
Filed under: uncultured bacterium
Lineage: Bacteria
Description: partial 16S ribosomal RNA
Rfam family: Bacterial small subunit ribosomal RNA
Source: RNAcentral
GACGAACGCUGGCGGCGUGCUUAACACAUGCAAGUCGAACGCUGAACCCGCUUCGGUGGGGGAUGAGUGGCGAACGGGUGAGUAACACGUGGGCAACCUGCCCCCGGCUCUGGGAUAACUCAAAGAAAUUGGGGCUAAUACCGGAUGUGACCGCUGGCCGCAUGGUCUGGUGGUGGAAAGGGUUUCCGGCUGGGGAUGGGCCCGCGGCCUAUCAGCUUGUUGGUGGGGUAGUGGCCUACCAAGGCGACGACGGGUAGCCGGCCUGAGAGGGUGACCGGCCACACUGGGACUGAGAUACGGCCCAGACUCCUACGGGAGGCAGCAGUGGGGAAUAUUGCGCAAUGGGCGGAAGCCUGACGCAGCGACGCCGCGUGGGGGAUGACGGCCUUCGGGUUGUAAACCUCUUUCAGCAGGGACGAAGCGCAAGUGACGGUACCUGCAGAAGAAGCACCGGCCAACUACGUG